AACGCUGGCGGCGUGCCUCAGACAUGCAAGUCGAACGCGAAAGUCCCCUUCGGGGGAUGAUUAGAGUGGCGCACGGGUGAGUAACACGUAGGUAAUCUAUCUUCGAGUGGGGAAUAACUCAGGGAAACUUGAGCUAAUACCGCAUAAUGUAGCGGCACCACAUGGUGACAGUUGUUAAAGCAUUUAUGCGCUUGAAGAGUAGCCUGCGGCAGAUUAGCUAGUUGGUAAGGUAAUGGCUUACCAAGGCUAUGAUCUGUAACCGGCCUGAGAGGGCGGACGGUCACACUGACACUGAAUAAUGGGUCAGACUCCUACGGGAGGCAGCAGUCGGGAAUUUUGGGCAAUGGGCUAAAGCCUGACCCAGCAACGCCGCGUGAAGGAUGAAAUCUUUCGGGAUGUUAACUUCGGAAGAAUAGGAAGAAAAAAAUGACGGUACUAUUUUUAAGGUCUGGCUAACUACGUGCCAGCAGCCGCGGUAAUAAGGU
This 485-nucleotide ribosomal RNA is filed under the name uncultured Acidobacteriota bacterium. RNAcentral describes it as "bacterial SSU rRNA". It matches the Rfam family "Bacterial small subunit ribosomal RNA", at positions 32 to 528 of the family's 1533-position model. Lineage: Bacteria; Pseudomonadati; Acidobacteriota. The record is from RNAcentral.